AAGUCAGGUGUGAAAGCCUUCUGUUCAAAGGAAGAACGGCGUCUGAAACUGCAGAUCUUGAGUGUAGGAGGGGAGAGUGGAACUUCUGGUGGAGCGGUGAAAUGCGUAGAUAUCAGAAGGAACGUCGGCGGCGAAAGCGACUCUCUGGCCUAUUACUGACACUGAGGUGCGAAAGUUAGGGGAGCAAACGGGAUUAGAUACCCCGGUAGUCCUAACCGUAAACGAUGGGCACUAAGUAGAGGGAAUUACCAAUGUUCUCUCUGCCGUAGCUAACGCAUUAAGUGCCCCGCCUGGGGAGUACGGCCGCAAGGCUAAAACUCAAAAGAAUUGACGGGGGCUCGCACAAGCGGUGGAGCAUGUGGCUUAAUUCGAUGCAACGCGAAAAACCUUACCGGGGUUUGACAUGGUAGAAGUAGGAGCCUGAAAGGGCAACCAACGGUAUCCAGUCCGUAGCUAUCACAGGUGUUGCAUGGCUGUCGUCAGCUCGUGUCGUGAGACGUUGGGUUAAGUCCCCUAACGAGCGAAACCCUUGUUUUUAGUUACCAUCGGGUAGUGCCGAGUACUCUAAAAAGACUGCCGUCGUCAAGACGGAGGAAGGUGGGGAUGACGUCAAGUCAUCAUGGCCCUUAUACCCCGGGCUGCACACGUGCUACAAUGGUCGGUACAAAAGGAAGCAAGA
RNAcentral lists this ribosomal RNA (679 nucleotides) under uncultured anaerobic ammonium-oxidizing bacterium. RNAcentral's name for it is "bacterial SSU rRNA". It matches the Rfam family "Bacterial small subunit ribosomal RNA", at positions 585 to 1254 of the family's 1533-position model. The record is from RNAcentral.